AUAGUUUAUCAUGUGUAUUAGUUAUAUGUUAGGGUGCUAUCAAGAUUUCGUCGCCGUUUUAAAACGCGAGUCAUGACAAAAACAAGGGCGUGGGACACGGCUAUGUCCUGGACGGCGGUUUUAUAUCACGGGACCCUUCUAGAACUGAGCCGCUGCAAACGGCUGUGAGCCGGCAGGCCGUCCUUAGUUACCAGGAGGAUGGUAAUCUACCGUGUAGCUAUGGUUACAGAUACAUAUCACCGCGGAUAAUAGUCGGAAUCAUCGAUGGAGAGCGUAUAAAGCGAUGAAUUUAUGCCGAGAAAUGCAGUAACGUUACCUCCUCACCAACGGUCCAACAAACGGCCAACUCAGCGUCGACGUUUAGCGGCUCAGACGUUGACUAAAACCUAUUAAAUGUCACAUUUUCCGGUUCAUAAGUGACAGUUUUCAUACUCACAUCAUGGUCCGUCGCUGUUAACGAUCAGUGGGAAAUACCAGAGUGGAUGAUCCGUGGUUAGCCUGCAUCUCCAUCCUCCCCCUACCGCCGCUAGUCCGCUACACCAGCAGCUAGAUGGGAGGCAACAUCGUCCAGUAGAUGUCAGAGCAGCCUGGACCUGACGCUCCCUGGAGGAGACAGCAGCAGAUCUGGACAGCUUCCCAGUUUUCCAUCAACCACUACAAAGACUGAUGGAAGAGAAAAGCUUUCUCACAUGAAGCCUCUUCUGCAGCUGCUGCUGAUCCACCACAGCGUCUCGUUCGGCUUCAGCUGUGGCGUGUCAACACGCCCCAUCUCGCUGGGAGGUUGUGCAAAUUUGGCGUGCCUGAAGGGCGGGGACGAGAGCUGGCAGUGAGGACGAGUCUGUGGUUUGACUCAGAACAAUCCUGAUGUGUGCUUACUGCUGCAGGGGAAAGCGUUGUGACUGUCAGCUUCAAACAGCAUCCUCCUGUUUUAUAUUGUGUCUUUUAAUGCCAAAUAAAUACACACAGGUUCCCACACAGGAAGCAUCAAAGACUCAAGCCAACCAAGUUAAUAAAUGUAACAGUGUCCGAACAAAGAAUAGGUAGAAGUAAAAGUUCUCUUUUCCUACCCUCUUCUUAUCUCCUCUAUUAACUCAUAAAUUCACAAAUGUAUUUACAUUAUUUCAAGAAAUUCCCAAAUGUAAUUACCAACGAUAUGCAAACAACUAUCUACGGAAGAGGACUGGGCCCAGGUAGGAGGAAAAAAUAAUGAGGGGAGGAUUUUUUUUUUUCAUUAUGCAGUUUUAGAAAAAAGUCGAAAUGACGAGAAUAAAAUUGGAAUGUGGAGAAUUAAGUUGAAUAACCUCAAUAUCUUAGAGUGUAGUGAUACUAAAAUCCCCAUAAAAAUAAAUAUUGCUAUUCUUGGUACUAGGCUAUCAUAACUAUUGUUUUGGGGAAAUCUGCUUUUGUGUAAUUUAUGUGAUUUUUUUUGACAUACUGUAUUAUAUUAUAUAUUAUAUACAUACUCUCUC
Long non-coding RNA from Centropristis striata (black sea bass), 1469 nucleotides. RefSeq lists it as uncharacterized. The transcript is spliced from 3 exons. NCBI's taxonomy places the organism in Eukaryota, Metazoa, Chordata, Actinopteri, Perciformes, Serranidae. The record is from RefSeq and is a predicted model, not a curated record.